RNAcentral lists this long non-coding RNA (194 nucleotides) under Columba livia (rock pigeon). Its description in RNAcentral is "partial uncharacterized LOC102088638". The record is from RNAcentral. Lineage: Eukaryota; Metazoa; Chordata; Aves; Columbiformes; Columbidae.
GGGGACUACAAGGAUGGGUACCGGGGGUACGCGGUGGCCGUGGGCGAGUUUGAUGAUGAUCCCAAAACCAAAGAGUACGUGGUGGGGGUCCCCAACAAGAGGAACACGAGGGGCGAGGUGGAGAUUUUCAGCGUGGGGGUGACCAUGCGCCGGCUGCAGGGAAUGGCCAGCGAGCAGGUACCCCCCACACUGGC